Molecule: ribosomal RNA, 241 nt
Filed under: uncultured bacterium
Lineage: Bacteria
Description: partial 16S ribosomal RNA
Rfam family: Bacterial small subunit ribosomal RNA
Source: RNAcentral
UACGUAGGUGGCAAGCGUUGUCCGGAUUUAUUGGGUUUAAAGGGUGCGUAGGCGGUCCUAUAAGUCAGUUGUGAAAUACGGCAGCUUAACUGUCGAGGUGCAAUUGAUACUGCAGGACUUGAGUACAGACGAGGUAGGCGGAAUUGACGGUGUAGCGGUGAAAUGCUUAGAUAUCGUCAAGAACACCGAUAGCGAAGGCAGCUUACUAGACUGUAACUGACGCUGAGGCACGAAAGUGUGG